Long non-coding RNA from Pseudopipra pipra, 8238 nucleotides. RefSeq lists it as uncharacterized. The transcript has 2 exons. The record is from RefSeq and is a predicted model, not a curated record. NCBI's taxonomy places the organism in Eukaryota, Metazoa, Chordata, Aves, Passeriformes, Pipridae.
GAGUCCGCCCUCCCAGGCGGGAGGGGCCGGGGGGGGCCGGGGGUACCUCAGCGCCCCGAGCCCCUGGGGACACCCGGGGACACCCGUGGGGGACCCGCAGCCCCUGCCCGGGUGGUGCAGGGGGGUCCCACCCGCCUUCCUGCGCGGAGGAAGCGACAUCGCCGCCCCCAGCCCAGCCUUGAGCCCCCGACCUCCCCCACGGGCGUGUAUUCCCCUCCCUGAUCCAAAGGAGCGGCCACACCCACUGCCGGCACCUGUUGGGAACGGGAGGUGGGUGAGGGACACGGGAGGGCAUCCUCACGUGAGUACUUUAAGACCCGCAGGGUUUUAAGAGCUGCGGUUUCUUCUCGCUAAAAUACGAGCUGAUAAAGGCAUGAGAACAGCACAAGGAGAAGGGGGUGAGUGGCUUUUUCUUACAGUCACAGAAUGCUUUGAGUCGGAAGGGACCUUAAAACUCACCCUGUUCUACCCCCUGGGACACCUUCAACUAUCCCAGGUUGCUCCAAGCCCCAACCAGCCCGGCCUUGGACACUUCCAGGGAUGGGGAUUCCAAGGUCAGCAUUGAAUUUUGGGGAGCAGAAUGCCAAUCUAAGCGCAGGGCUCCUGCCAGUGAGAUUCCUCCUGCAGGAGAUUCCUCCAAGACAAAAGGUGCCAGCACAGGAAGCUCAAGCUGCCCAGGGAGUGCCAAGGGUGGCACAUAAACUGCACUUGGGAGACAGGUCAGGGCUUUCUUUCCUGGGUGGAAGGGCAGUUGUUUGCUUGCAGGAGCGCUGUGCUGGAGUUAGGAGGUUCCACCCAGGAAAGAAAGCCUCAUGUGCAGUUGUUGGGCCACUCUUGGCACUCCAUGGAUAGGCUUUUUGUGCUGGCAUCUUCUACCUGGGAGGAACCUUUGUGUUCCUGGCAGCUGAGCCUCUCCCAAGCACCUGCCUUUAAAGUGGGCUGUUCUCUCCUGGCAGAACCCAACCUGCUUUAUCAAGGUCUGUGAUGCACAAGGUGACCAGAUGGUCCCUAAAGGUCCCUUCCAAUCCAAACCAUUCCAUGAUUCUGCACUUCAUGGCACAGGCAAAGCCUUGCCCAUGCUCUGAGCUCAGGUCUAUUUAAGACCCCUGUGUUUAUGAUGCACCAACAGUCUGACUGUUAGGUUGGCUCACCUCUUAGCUCACAAGGAUUUUUCCCCUGGAAUCCUGCCAAGUUCCAUAUUUCGGGCAUCUGGGGAAUAAGCAACAAUCAACAAUUCUUCAUCAGCAAUUCCCCUCUAAGAAUCACGUGUGGUUUUAUAAAUGGCAAUCAAAUGAGCUUUACAGCACUGCAGGGAAUCAGCUGAGUGGCAUUUCUGGCACCUUAAUGUGUCGAUGGGAAACCUGAGGCACAGCAAUUCCUGUAAGGUUAUGAUUUAACUGAAGUAACUUUUUUAUGGUGGAGGUUUUUCCCCCCAAAGCCUUUGAGGUGUCUGCCAGACUCUGGGUGAGACUCAGCCUGCUGGAAAUGGGAUGAUCUGGAUGGUGGUCCUGGCUCUGGGUACAGCUCCCAGAAAACAUUACAGACUUUCCUUAAUGAAUUGACUGAUUAUUUCAGGGUUACUGCUUAACCCUUUCUUUCAGAACAGCGCUGAUGGGAUGUUCCAUGCGGAUUUUGUCUCCCAUGGAUCACCUCCAUGUAGGACCAGGGAUAACCUGAUUCACAUCUCUCAGUUCCAGACACUCCACCUACCCUGUAUCUGCCAGCCUUCCUGUCCCACUGUGUCUUUACACAAAAGUCCUGGGGGGGUUGUUGGAUGCUCCAGCAUCUCUUCAGGCUUUUUGUCAGGAGCUGGAAUGUCUUUUGUCUGCAUCCUGAGGACUGAGCAGGCAGCCCAUGGCAUGAGGGCUUUGAGUCUCAGUUUUGCCUCUAUUCAGCACAUUCUUCUUCUUCUUUUUUGUUUUUUUCUCCUGCUCUCAUUAAUUAGUUCCUGAUGUGCUGGUUCCUGCCUGAGAAACACUGGGAAUUUCUGAGGCUUUGACAGAGAGGAGUCUGGAAAAGGUUAAAAUCCUGAAUUAGGGAAUGUUUAUGUGAGAAAGAUUUGAUUGACAGAAUUUCUGGGAUCAAGCACUUUACUCUUCUACACUGCAAUAAAGGCAGUUAUAGACUUAAUUCUGUCUUUCUGCAGCAGAUCUAGGGCCAGAUGAAUUGCACAGCCACGGUUAGAGCCAAAGGCUUUGCUUCUUGUUCGUGCUUUGCCAGCAUUUGUGUGAUUCAGAGGAUUCUUCCUUGUGCAGAGUACAACAACAUCCCACAUCCCCACAGGUCUACUGCCACCAGGCACGAGCAUUUUUUAGGAAGAUACAGAGGAGGGAGAACCCUGAGCUAAACAAAUGGGCCAUAGGUGAGAGAGCUCCCUUCAAAUCCAACUCGAAAUGCUUUGUGCCUCGGGAGAUUAUCUGAUCAUCUCCUUUUGCUCCCUCUAAUCCAGUGGGUGAUCACAUCUGAUGACAGCUUUAAAAUAAUAAUCUGAGCAGAACAAGCAAUUCCCAUGGGAAAGCUCUGACUGUACGUGCUUGUAAAGAAAAAUGCCACUCUUUCCCCUUGUAGAACAAACCAUGAGUAUUAACCAUCUGUGCAAGUAUUGCAGUCCUGGAGAGCUCCAUCCUUUUAAUGGGAGCUUUGGAUUUCAUAGCAGGCAUUUAAUCAGCUGGGGGAGUGUUUUCAGCCAGGUUAUGUAAAUGCUGUCAAGAAACCAUGUGUCUGGAAAAGAUGGAUGUAAGGAAUGUGCUAGCAGGAGGCAGAAGGGAGGUUGGAUUGUUUCGGGGUUGCGGUUUCACAGCAGUGUUUUAUAAACCUGCUGAUCCAAUUGGCAACAUCCACAACCCUUGGAAAUAGGCUGAACAGGGCAUUGUCACCCUACAGACUUGAUGGGGCUUGGAUGUGCAUUCCAGGGAGAUCCACUGUGGGAAUCCAGUGCAUAAAUGUGGGAGGGAACAGGCUGAGCAGGAGAGGGGUUUGAGGCAGGAGUCCAGAGAAUGAGAAAUGGCAGGCACAAAUGUUUGAAAGAUAAAGUGUUCUCAAGUGGGCAUCUGUAUGUGCAUGAAUUUAGAGCACUAGAAGAACCUGCCAGCGCUCCUGGAGGUGCCUGCCCUUUGCCCACACAGAAAUUCCCAAAGAAUUUCUUACAGGGGCAAAAAUGCCCCAAAUUAAACCAUUCCUAUGGACAGAUCUCAUCCCUGUGUCUCCGAGGUUAAGGGGUGGGAAAGCUGAACAAUUCCUUCCUUCCCAUAAUGAGGAGAGACAGCUUCUAAUUAGGAUUCAUUAGAGCUGCCCCAGGGAGCCGAUGGGACCAUUUUUCAGGAUUCCUUGUUGGAAUUAUUUUUCGUCUCACUCUCUCCCUGUUGGCUCAGAGCUCUCCAUUCUCUUCCCCAGGGCCUAAGGAUGUGCUUUGAGUCAUCUCAGUGCUCUGCCUAGAAGUGGGGCUAUGGGAUCUUGAGAACCCUUGGUGCUCUCACAGCCCUGGCAGACCUCGGGGACAAGCACUGAGCAAACUGUGGGCAUGGCCACGACACAGGAGAAUGGGAACAAGGGAGCAAAAUGAGCAUAAACCUUGUCUUUUUGACAAGGUUCUAGGGUCAAACGCAUCAUCUAGAAGAGUACUAGAAACUGGAGGGCAAGGGGAAUUAUGUUACAUCCACAAUUAGCAGAAGAGGUCUGGUAAUUUUGGCGUGUUACUUGGUACUUGCCUUGAAACAUCAGCUCCCAGAGUCAAAGUAUUAUGAGAGAAACUCAUUAUUCUUUCAAAAACCAAUCUUCAUUCCAAGAACUUACAGUGCAGAAAACCUCCACCAUGUGAGCUAUUGCACCUUAAUUCCUUUGGAAAAAGAAAGCAUCUUUCCCUUUUAAUUCCACCUCAUCUUUCACACUUUGGACUGGAAAUCUUCCUGUGGAGGAUAUUUUGCCUUGAGUCCUGAACCGGUCUGUGGUUUGGGUUAGUUUUAAUCCAAAGCAAUGAGAAUUGGAUUCAAAGGGACAAAAACAAACGAGAAGGACCAAAGAACAUAUUCUGCAUGGAAAAGGCACCACAGCAGAGCAACAACCCUGUGACUCCACUGCCUGUUUGCUUUCAGUGUCACUCACGGAGCCAUUUAAAGUGAAGCCAAUGCCCUUUAAAUAUGUGCAAAGCCUUUACUGCCUUUCCAAGGAACAGACAUUUUUAUUAGAGCCAGGGAACAUUCCAGCUUCCAAAGGUAAUAAAAAUGCAGUGUGCCAGAAGACAAUAGCAAACUAGUAAGGGGGGGUUUUGCCUCGUUGAACUGAAGGGCCCUGAAGGAUUCUGACUCCAUGCUCUGCUCAGCCCCGAAGCAUCAGGCAGCCAAGUCCAGGGUGGUAGAGGCUCCUCUUCUUCCACUGGAUCCUUUUGUCUCCAUGUCAGGUUAAAGGCAGAGGUGCCAGGAGAAGUCUUUGCACGUGGUUAACAUGGAUAAAGCCUCAAUUGUCCAUUCCAGAGAAGCAUUAGUGGGAAAAGGUGGUUGCACUGGAGGGGAGCCAGUGAGGCAGUGGGUGAAGCCCUGCCCACGGCAGAAGAGCUUGGCAGGGCUAAUCACAGCCUGCUGGGCUCACCCACAGAUAUGAGCCUUCCUCAUAUCCAAGGGUGAAGGAAUUUAUCUCCAGGAGCUCAGUUUCCUUCUCUUCCUCGUGGGCUCUGUUCUGCCUGGAGAGAAAUUGUGCCACAGAGAGACAACUGGCACUCACACUGAAGUUUUUCUUCCUGCGUGACCACUGAGCUUUGUGAAGUCCAGUGUUACUAUUCAAUGAAAAACAUCUGCUCAAACUCCCCGUGUUCAACUCACCUGCUGUAACACGGGCUGGGGAAGGACUCCAGACAUGAGUAUGACCAAGACAGCACAUCAUUCUGCAAUUCUUUCCAGCACCUCUGUGUUGCUGGGCUUUAUUUCUACCUUUUCAUGAAGUAACCCAGCAAGGCACUACUCUACACGCCACAAAACAUUGCUCCCUGCAUUUAUCUUGCAAUAUAUAUUCCAGGAAGUCUGCAUCAGCCACAGGAUUCUGGAUCAUCCAAUACUUUCUCUCACCUGUGCCUGGAAGUACAGACAUUUUUUCCUUGCUGUGGGUGAUUUGUCACUGUGUUCUUGCGGGGGAAUUGCUGGGAAAAGCAGAGAACCUUUUAACUGUAUUCCCAUGUGAGUGGUUGGCUCGGCCAAGGCCGAGCAGGGAGAACACUUCUCAGAGAAAGAGGUGAUGGUGGGAGGAGAAACCCUCAGCAUGGAGCUGACACAGAACACUCAGCAGCGGAUCUGCGUGUUCUGCUUCCUCCUCCAGGAUUUUCUGCUCUGCCAUGUGGCAUCCUGGGGUGACACAGGGAUGUGAAUUCCUCAUGAUCUCACUCCAGUGUUUUUCUGGGGGAAGCUUCGUGCCUGCACAAGCGUUCCCUUGGAAUGAGCCAGCCUCCUCAGUUGGACACAGGGCUGCUUUGUUUCACCUCGGGUUUGGUUUUGUGCUAUUCAGAUAAGUGCGUGAUACAUCGAGCUGGAAAGAUCAUUUAUGAGCAACUUCAGCUGCCAUCCCUGCUUGUGAGGUGUCAGCCAGGGGGAUUUCAGGCUGGUUUUUAACACCCCCAUAAGCCAAGAGCUGAAGUCAUCUCUGCUUUGUCACUGUGUGUUAAUUGUAGCCAUCGACAGAUUUAUGGUGAGAUUUUAUGUACUGCUUAAUCAUUGCUGGUUUUAAAUAGAAUAGACUUUCCUGAAUCAUGUACUUGGUUCUGCAGAUUUCAUUCAGCAUUUUUUCUGCACACAGAUAAGGGGAACACAGCCUAAAUGUAUUUACCACAGAGAUGUUGAGUCUGAGGUCUGCAAACAUCUGUUUUGCAGAACAAGAGGAUCUCAUCUACCACUCAGGCUAUCUGGGAAUCCUCCUAAGGUCUUCAGGAGCCUCCUUCCAGGUGUACACCUACCUCCAUGGCAGGGAAGGGACAUGUUUAAUAGUAAGACUUCAACAGAGAGAACAUGGAGCUAUAAAAAUGGAAAUCAGCUCCUGUUCUAUAGCAAUAGCAACCUGUCAGAAAUUCUCUCCGUGGCCAACAAUCAAGUUGACAACAAGCUAAUUACAGAGGGGCCUCUGAAUACAAGAAGUUGUUACCUGCCUGUAUUUCCAGCUCUGCAUGUCUGAUCAGCCCAGAAGUGUUUGAGCACAUUGUUCAUUUGCCCCCCUGCACACACACCAGAGGCUGUAUUUGGAGCUAAAAUCUGCAGAAGUGCCUGUGACUCUCAGAUCCUGUGGCUGGAGGCACAGGCAGCCAAUUUGGCUUGCAGGCCCUCAGCUCCUGCACAAAAAUGCACGUCCUGGCCAGCACUGCCUGCAAAGUCAACCUCAAGGAGCACAAACUCUGCUUCUUACAUAACACCAAAUAAUGAACCUUGUGCAAAGGGACUCGCCCAGCCCUCUUCAUGUCAUUUAGACAGGAAAAAAGCCCCUCUAGGGCAAAGUAAUUCAAGCCCCUCUUCUCCAGAUGAUGAGCUGAUGGUUAGUGCUCUGCCUGUUAGGUUCAGUCCUUCAGUGCACUGACAAACACCCCGAGGAACCAGGCACAGGACAAUUCUGCUGAUAUUCCAGUUUUUUUUCCAGGAGACACUGCCAGUUACUCCCCUCUUUCUCUGCUCUUUUUUUAUUUACCAUUGGCAUGUCCUCCCUACCUCCAGUUCAGCACAAAGGGACACUGCAGUGUCUCACCUUCCCCGCUGCAGUUUCCUCCCACCAGAUUUCACAUCUGGGGUGUGGAUAGAAAAGAGUGAGGUGAGCCCUUGGAAUCUCCUUCCCUAGGCACCACAGGGACAGUCAGGAACGGGGACUGGGCUCUGGGAGGGGAAUGAGGGGAUGACCAGCAUUGCAAUGUCUCCUUCCCCAACAGUCCUGCAGCAAAGAUGGGAUGUCCCUUCUGAGACCCUCCCAGAGCACCAGGAUUUCAUGGUCCAGGUUUUUCAGCUGCUGCAGGAGCUGCUGUUUGCAGAGAUCUCCAACCCUGGCUGUGCAAGGGGCUUGGGGUUCACUGAGGACUGGAAGGGUGGGGCUGUGGGGGGCGGGUUUACUUUCAAAAAUGAACUCGGUUUUAAGACAGGACCUGGCAACAUUUACAGCACAAGCACUACUCAUAAAAUGGGGUUGUGUGCACGGUGCAGCCAGGGAGGCACACGGACCUAAUUCCCCUUGGUGCAGGGAGGAACGAAGCCAAACAUUCAUUACAGAACUUGACCUCAGGUACAUGAGUAAGUUGCUUGAAACACUGCAGGAGCAGGGGGGAAAAAGGAGGAUUAGUUUCCUUGUCUACUCUGGGGCUGGGACCAGGUUCAGCUCUGGUGUAAUCCCACUGAUUUUAGUGCAGUCACACUUGGGAUCACUUUGGGAUUUUGAAGGAUACUGCACUCACAGGCUUCCCCAAGCAUUAGCAUUCCGAGGUGGUAGAAAUUCAUCCCAUAAUACAGUGCUGAGAAUUUUAAAAUAAUAAAGAAGCCAAGAUGCCUGCUGCCACCACUGCCAGCUAAUUAUAGCAGCACGGACAGGCUUCCCUUGCAGAAUUCCAUAUGCUGUACUCCUGAGGCACAAUAAAUACACCAUAUUAAAGAGGGGCAGGCUGAGAAGGCAUUUCUGAUUUUAAAAUCCUUUAACCAUGGAGUUAGAAACAAAUGAAGUCAUUGAAUGGAAAUUUGCUAUUACUUUUUUUAUAUAUAUAGUUUUUUUCUGAAGCCUCUAAAUGUGCUUCAGUGGAAGUGGGCAGAGGGCAGGGGGAGAACUUGAUAUUUAGCAAUUUAUUAGGAGUUUCCUUACUAGAUUUCUGCACUCAACCCUGGGCUUUAGGCACAGCCAUCCCAGAAUUCAGCCAAUCUUCCACCUGGCACUACCUGGACAAGCAGCAAAGGCCAGAAGUCUGGAGGAAACAGAUUGAUCCAGUUUUCCUGUUUUUCAGUGAUGCUGAGCAUUGGAUGGAUCCUGUCUUAGAUAUUGUCUGGAGCAGCCAUGGUGGGAAGAGGGGACUCCAAAUGCACUGCAAACAGCAGAACUGCUGGCACAGAGAGAUUAGCUGGACAAAAAAAACCAAAAGAAACAACCUGACACGACUCAGAGCCUGGAGUGUGCAAGUUCAUGUUUACAACAGGGGCCAACAGAAGGAAGGCCUAAGUUAUCUCUGUAUUUAUUGAGUGGGCCCAAAAGCAGGUGCUCCAGAUGUGAAUGGAUCUUGUCAGACAACUGAUGUUGGCUGCA